RNAcentral lists this ribosomal RNA (446 nucleotides) under uncultured bacterium. RNAcentral describes it as "partial 16S ribosomal RNA". It matches the Rfam family "Bacterial small subunit ribosomal RNA", at positions 338 to 795 of the family's 1533-position model. The record is from RNAcentral.
CCUACGGGUGGCAGCAGUCGAGAAUCAUUCACAAUGGGGGAAACCCUGAUGGUGCGACGCCGCGUGGGGGAAUGAAGUUCUUCGGAUUGUAAACCCCUGUCAUGUGGGAGCAAAUUAAAAAGAUCGUACCACACGAGGAAGAGACGGCUAACUCUGUGCCAGCAGCCGCGGUAAUACAGAGGUCUCAAGCGUUGUUCGGAAUCACUGGGCGUAAAGCGUGCGUAGGCUGUUUCGUAAGUCGUGUGUGAAAGGCGCGGGCUCAACCCGCGGACGGCACAUGAUACUGCGAGACUAGAGUAAUGGAGGGGGAACCGGAAUUCUCGGUGUAGCAGUGAAAUGCGUAGAUAUCGAGAGGAACACUCGUGGCGAAGGCGGGUUCCUGGACAUUAACUGACGCUGAGGCACGAAGGCCAGGGGAGCGAAAGGGAUUAGAUACCCGAGUAGUC